UACGAAGGGGGCUAGCGUUGUUCGGAAUUACUGGGCGUAAAGCGCGCGCAGGCGGUCUUCCAAGUCAGUGGUGAAAGCCUGGAGCUCAACUCCAGAACUGCCAUUGAAACUGUUAGACUUGAGUACGAGAGAGGUGAGUGGAAUUCCCAGUGUAGAGGUGAAAUUCGUAGAUAUUGGGAAGAACACCAGUGGCGAAGGCGGCUCACUGGCUCGUAACUGACGCUCAGGCGCGACAGCGUGGGGAUCAAACAGG
RNAcentral lists this ribosomal RNA (253 nucleotides) under uncultured bacterium. RNAcentral describes it as "partial 16S ribosomal RNA". It matches the Rfam family "Bacterial small subunit ribosomal RNA", at positions 524 to 776 of the family's 1533-position model. The record is from RNAcentral. RNAcentral also lists the same sequence under 1 other name.